GAUGAAGAACGCAGCGAAAUGCGAUAAGUAAUGCGAAUUGCAGAAUUCCAGUGAGUCAUCGAAUCUUUGAACGCACAUUGCGCCCUUUGGUAUUCCGAAGGGCAUGCCUGUUCGAGCGUCAUUAUCACCCCUCAAGCCCUCGGCUUGGUGUUGGACGGUUUGGUGGAGGCCCCCUCGGGGGCUCCUGCCCCUCCCAAAGACAAUGACGGCGGCCUCGUUGGACCCCCGGUACACUGAGUUCUUCACGGGACACGUAUCGGACACAUGGGUUUACGGGACACGGUCUGCCUCCCCUCAGGGAGAAUCUUUCUAAGGUUGACCUCGGAUCAGGUAGGGAUACCCGCUGAACGUAAGCAUAUCAAUAAGCGGAGGA
RNAcentral lists this unclassified non-coding RNA (373 nucleotides) under soil metagenome. RNAcentral describes it as "partial contains 5.8S ribosomal RNA, internal transcribed spacer 2, and large subunit ribosomal RNA". The stretch from base 1 to 121 matches the Rfam family "5.8S ribosomal RNA", at positions 35 to 154 of the family's 154-position model. The record is from RNAcentral.